This 611-nucleotide unclassified non-coding RNA is filed under the name Hevea brasiliensis (rubber tree). Lineage: Eukaryota; Viridiplantae; Streptophyta; Magnoliopsida; Malpighiales; Euphorbiaceae. The record is from RNAcentral.
CUUUGAAAGAGGGGUGCCUCACCUCGUCUGGCGCCUCAGUGCCUUGGCGAGAGAGCCGCUCGCCUUUUGGAACUAUAGUGUGCCUCUCCGGGUACCUUUAAUAACACUGUACCCAACCUCUUCAAUGGGCUGUAGCUAUCCACUAAUGACAUUUGCUUAUUUCAUGUACAUACAAAUAAGUCAGUUACUACACUUGCUUCUUUGUGAAUGUGUUUCUGGGACUUAUAACUACUACCUUGUCGUUGCUGCAGUUUUUUGGUUCUGUGUUAAUUAUUUAUUAUUUGUUAGUUCUUUAUUUUAAUGGAUAAAUUUCAAGGGUUGUCCUUAAAUUUUAAGGGUUGUAACAGAGUCGUCCCUGAACUUGAAAAUGUAGCAUAAAACUCUCUGAAUUUUGAAAUUUUGCACAGUAUAAUCCUUCUAAUCCUCAAUAGCUGGUUUAUGCAAUCCAGAAUAACAGUAACGUGAAUAAUUUUCACUCUUUAGGUGAUAGUGGCAAAGCCAACUAUGAUUUUCUUCACAAAUUAUCAAUAAAAAGAAUUUCAUCCAUAUUAGAUAAUAAUUCACUAGAUGUAUAACAGCUGAUUAGAGGACUCUGCCUUAAAAAAAAAAAA